CCUACGGGAGGCAGCAGUGGGGAAUAUUGCACAAUGGGGGAAACCCUGAUGCAGCGACGCCGCGUGAGUGAAGAAGGAAUUCGGGAUGUAAAGCUCUAUCAUCAGGGAAGAAAAUGACGGUACCUGAUUAAGAAGCCCCGGCUAACUACGUGCCAGCAGCCGCGGUAAUACGUAGGGGGCAAGCGUUAUCCGGAUUUACUGGGUGUAAAGGGCGCGUAGUCGGCGGUGCAAGUCUGAAGUGAAAGGCGGGGGCUCAACCCCCGGACUGCUCUGGAAACUGUGCGGCUGGAGUGCAGGAGAGGUAAGUGGAAUUCCUAGUGUAGCGGUGAAAUGCGUAGAUAUUAGGAGGAACACCAGUGGCGAAGGCGGCUUACUGGACUGUAACUGACGUUGAGGCUCGAAAGCGUGGGGAGCAAACAGGAUUAGAUACCCUAGUAGUC
This 440-nucleotide ribosomal RNA is filed under the name uncultured bacterium. RNAcentral's name for it is "partial 16S ribosomal RNA". It matches the Rfam family "Bacterial small subunit ribosomal RNA", at positions 338 to 795 of the family's 1533-position model. The record is from RNAcentral.